UGGCAGAUAGCAAAACAAAAGAAAAUCUAGUAUUAGGUGAUGAUUUAAUUGUAGGUUCUUUUCAUUUCUUAAAAUAAGGAUGUAAAUGCCCAAGUAUUUUGGGCCACUUUUUUAGAGUCUCAUCUUACUUGUUUUGCUGUGGCUUUUUAAAGGAAUUCAGGCCCAACUCAAAAAGAUAAAGUCAAUUUUUUCGUUAGACUUUUGGAUUUUUAAUUUUUUAGGCCCUUUAAAUCUUGAGGCCCUAGGCAAUAACCUAGAUUUCCAUGCGCCACAGCCAGGCCAGGUUAGUAUAUAGUAUCAGAAUAAAACCACUUAUCCAGAUUUAAAAAGGGGAAGGGAAAAGGCAGACUGAUUUGUUAGAAAAUGAUUGGGUGUUUUUGUUUUAAUUUUUCAAACUAUCCAAUCAUGCGUUGACACGUGUCUCGUCUGGAUUUGAGUCUAAAUGUGUAGCAUGAUUGAUAGUAUCAACAUCACUAAUUUAGCAUCACUAAUUUAGCAAGAUAAAC
RNAcentral lists this long non-coding RNA (506 nucleotides) under Olea europaea subsp. europaea. Lineage: Eukaryota; Viridiplantae; Streptophyta; Magnoliopsida; Lamiales; Oleaceae. The record is from RNAcentral.